This 292-nucleotide long non-coding RNA is filed under the name Nicotiana benthamiana. RNAcentral describes it as "long non-coding RNA (NBEN_LNC021902)". Lineage: Eukaryota; Viridiplantae; Streptophyta; Magnoliopsida; Solanales; Solanaceae. The record is from RNAcentral.
CCAAUUAUUCAUUAUUACAAGUUACAGGACAAAAAUGGAGUAAUACAAACUCAAAGAUGACAACAUACAAACAAAAACAAGUACAAGCCUGCUAUAAAAUAAUCCAGUGAGUUUAUGGGCCUUCAACAGCCUCACCAACCAACAGACUCAAGUCUCAGGCUCAUGAGGACAGUAGAAUCUUCCUGAAUCCAAUGCCCAGGUCCAACAAUACAUAUGGCCUAACACCGAGCCCAAUGAAUAACUUACUUAGCGGUAUGAAUGCCAAACUUAAUCAUACAAACGACAGAGCACU